Molecule: non-coding RNA, 96 nt
Filed under: Achromobacter xylosoxidans
Lineage: Bacteria; Pseudomonadati; Pseudomonadota; Betaproteobacteria; Burkholderiales; Alcaligenaceae
Description: Glycine sequence
Rfam family: Glycine riboswitch aptamer
About the family: This family represents the bacterial glycine riboswitch. Glycine riboswitches usually consist of two metabolite-binding aptamers domains with similar structures in tandem.
Source: RNAcentral
ACGCAUGUUGCGGGAGAGAGCGGCCUGUACGUCCGGCCGCCGCCGAAGGCGCAAUUCGCCCGGAAUCGCUCAGGUAACCCAUACCGCCCAUGCUUG